This 483-nucleotide ribosomal RNA is filed under the name uncultured soil bacterium. RNAcentral's name for it is "bacterial SSU rRNA". It matches the Rfam family "Bacterial small subunit ribosomal RNA", at positions 26 to 505 of the family's 1533-position model. The record is from RNAcentral.
AGAUUGAACGCUGGCGGCAUGCCUUACACAUGCAAGUCGAACGGCAGCAUGAUGUGUAGCAAUACACGUUGAUGGCGAGUGGCGAACGGGUGAGUAAUAUAUCGGAACGUGUCCUGUAGCGGGGGAUAACCUAUCGAAAGAUGGACUAAUACCGCAUACGCUCUACGGAGGAAAGCGGGGGUCGCAAGACCUCGCACUAUAGGAGCGGCCGAUAUCGGAUUAGCUAGUUGGCGGGGUAAAAGCCCACCAAGGCGACGAUCCGUAGCUGGUCUGAGAGGAUGAUCAGCCACACUGGAACUGAGACACGGUCCAGACUCCUACGGGAGGCAGCAGUGGGGAAUUUUGGACAAUGGGCGCAAGCCUGAUCCAGCCAUGCCGCGUGAGUGAAGAAGGCCUUCGGGUUGUAAAGCUACUUUCGGCAGGACGAAUGGUCGUGUAAUACAGACUGAUGACGUACCUGAAGAAGAAGCACGGCUAACUACG